This 1050-nucleotide long non-coding RNA is filed under the name Homo sapiens (human). RNAcentral's name for it is "HSALNT0324837". Lineage: Eukaryota; Metazoa; Chordata; Mammalia; Primates; Hominidae. The record is from RNAcentral.
GCCAUGAGGGCGGGAACCCUCGUACGCGGAAGUUCAUGAGGGCGGGACCCUCGUACGCGGAAGGUCAUGAGGGCGGGACCCUCGUACGCGGAAGUUCAUGCGGGCGGGACCCUCGUACGUGGAAGGUCAUGAGGGCGGGACCCUCGUACGUGGAAGGUCAUGAGGGCGGAACCCUGGUACAUGAAAUUCGUUCUCUUAUUUAAGAGACAAAGAACGCCCUUGUUUUUUCCACCACGUGAUGGCGCAGACAGAAGACAACCAGCAUCUAUGAACCAGGAAGCCCCCACCAGGCACUGAAUCUGCCCCUGCGUGGAUCUUAGACUUGCAGACUCCAGAACUAACCUUACAAUGUCUCUUCUCCAUUAAGAAAACCUACUUCAACAUCUCCAUUGGUUCUCAACAUAGAGAUCACAGGAAAAACAGAAACUACAAGGAGAAAUGGAAAAAGCUGGACCUUCCCUAUGGACAUGGGGAAAAGUGGCUAUCUGGAAGUCAAGGGAAAAGAGAGAUUUUUCUUUAUAAAAUAAAAGAAAUGCCUGAACCACCAAACUGGACCACAAGCUUGAUCCAAGGAUGGUGCCUGACCCUGCACAAGGAACUCUCAGGAAAGGAACACUUCAAUGAGGGUGAUAAGGAAACUGUGUAGUUUUAAGGGAGGCCUGAGCCCUGACUCAUCAGUUUGCUUCUAAGUGUUCUCUCAGCCCAUCACCAACUCAGCUUCUGACCUAAUCAACCCCCCACCCCGUGAGCCCAGCUCCUACUUUCAACCCCAACCCCAGACUGAAACCUUAGCACCUACUUUAGCUAACACCUCUAGCUCCAAACACCCUACAUCCUAUUCCAGUCUAACCUCAUCAUCAAACAUUACCUGUAUUCAAACUCCAUAUCUUUUUUUCAAAGAAGUGCAUUCAAAACCAUAUAUACACAUACAUCUUUGCUUUUACUGUAAACAAGGCAAUCGUAAAGCCAUAUGCUUUUACAUUAUAAAGUAACCUUUCGCAGGUUUCUGAUUUUCUAAAAAACAAGUUUUGUUGAAGUUUCUGAAGUAUU